RNAcentral lists this ribosomal RNA (458 nucleotides) under uncultured bacterium. Its description in RNAcentral is "partial 16S ribosomal RNA". It matches the Rfam family "Bacterial small subunit ribosomal RNA", at positions 338 to 795 of the family's 1533-position model. The record is from RNAcentral.
CCUACGGGUGGCAGCAGUGAGGAAUAUUGGUCAAUGGGCGAGAGCCUGAACCAGCCAAGUCGCGUGAGGGAGUACUGCCCUAUGGGUUGUAAACCUCUUUUGUCGGGGAGCAAAAGCCGGACGUGUCCGGCUGUGAGAGUACCCGAAGAAAAAGCAUCGGCUAACUCCGUGCCAGCAGCCGCGGUAAUACGGAGGAUGCGAGCGUUAUCCGGAUUUAUUGGGUUUAAAGGGUGCGCAGGCGGAGUUUUAAGUCAGCGGUAAAAUCGUGGGGCUCAACCCCAUCCAGCCGUUGAAACUGGGGAUCUAGAGUGUGCGAGAGGUAUGCGGAAUGCGUGGUGGAGCGGUGAAAUGCAUAGAUAUCACGCAGAACCCCGAUUGCGAAGGCAGCAUACCGGUGCACAACUGACGCUCAGGCACGAAAGCGUGGGUAUCGAACAGGAUUAGAUACCCCUGUAGUC